GACGAACGCUGGCGGCGUGCUUAACACAUGCAAGUCGAACGAAGAGCGAUGGAAGCUUGCUUCUAUCAAUCUUAGUGGCGAACGGGUGAGUAACGCGUAAUCAACCUGCCCUUCAGAGGGGGACAACAGUUGGAAACGACUGCUAAUACCGCAUACGAUCUAAUCUCGGCAUCGAGGAAAGAUGAAAGGUGGCCUCUAUUUAUAAGCUAUCACUGAAGGAGGGGAUUGCGUCUGAUUAGCUAGUUGGAGGGGUAACGGCCCACCAAGGCGAUGAUCAGUAGCCGGUCUGAGAGGAUGAACGGCCACAUUGGGACUGAGACACGGCCCAGACUCCUACGGGAGGCAGCAGUGGGGAAUCUUCUGCAAUGGACGAAAGUCUGACGGAGCAACGCCGCGUGAGUGAUGACGGCCUUCGGGUUGUAAAGCUCUGUUAAUCGGGACGAAAGGCCUUCUUGCGAACAGUUAGAAGGAUUGACGGUACCGGAAUAGAAAGCCACGGCUAACUACGUG
Molecule: ribosomal RNA, 510 nt
Filed under: uncultured bacterium
Lineage: Bacteria
Description: partial 16S ribosomal RNA
Rfam family: Bacterial small subunit ribosomal RNA
Source: RNAcentral